GCUGGUCGAGUUGAUUAAACUUUAGAUCAGGAAGUAUUAAAACUCACUGGAGGCGUGGAGAGAGGCAUCGAACUGGAUGAUACGUCUGAAGCCUCUCAUCCUCUUGCUCCGUUUGUCACCCUCCUCCUACCUGUAUCUCAUCCCUCUCUGCUGCUGAUUCUAACCUCAAAUCCCUUCUCUUGUAUCCAAUAUUGGUACCUAUAUGAUUGCUUAUCCCAUGUAUGCGUUUGGGUCAUGACAAUUGGUAUUCAUAGCCAAUAAAUUUCCUUAAAU
Molecule: long non-coding RNA, 273 nt
Filed under: Hordeum vulgare
Lineage: Eukaryota; Viridiplantae; Streptophyta; Magnoliopsida; Poales; Poaceae
Description: long non-coding RNA (HVUL_LNC005082)
Source: RNAcentral